CCCCUACGGGGCGCAGCAGUCGGGAAUAUUGCGCAAUGGAGGAAACUCUGACGCAGUGACGCCGCGUAUAGGACGAAGGUCUUCGGAUUGUAAACUAUUGUCGUUAGGGAAGAGAAAGGACAGUACCUAAGGAGGGAGCUCCGGCUAACUACGUGCCAGCAGCCGCGGUAAUACGUAGGGAGCAAGCGUUAUCCGGAUUUAUUGGGCGUAAAGCGUGCGCAGGCGGUUUGUUAAGUCUAAAAUAAAAGCCCGAAGCUUAACUUCGGUUCGUUUUAGAAACUGGCAGGCUUGAGUAUGGUAGAGGG
This 305-nucleotide ribosomal RNA is filed under the name uncultured bacterium. RNAcentral describes it as "bacterial SSU rRNA". It matches the Rfam family "Bacterial small subunit ribosomal RNA", at positions 336 to 658 of the family's 1533-position model. The record is from RNAcentral.